UAUGGUCAAAUCACAAUGAAUCACCGGUUUGCAUACGAUCACCGAAGCUAAGCAACGUCGAGCCUGGUCAGUACCUAGAUGGGGGAUCGCUUGGAACGAUCAGGUGCUGCAAG
Non-coding RNA from Acanthosepion pharaonis, 113 nucleotides. Lineage: Eukaryota; Metazoa; Mollusca; Cephalopoda; Sepiida; Sepiidae. The record is from the annotation of a GenBank genome assembly.